UACGGGGGGAGCAAGCGUUGUUCGGAUUUACUGGGCGUAAAGGGCGCGUAGGCGGCGCAACAAGUCACUUGUGAAAUCUCCGGGCUUAACUCGGAACGGUCAAGUGAUACUGUUGUGCUAGAGUGCGGAAGGGGCAACUGGAAUUCUCGGUGUAGCGGUGAAAUGCGUAGAUAUCGAGAGGAACACCUGCGGCGAAGUCGGGUUGCUGGGCCGACACUGACGCUGAUGCGCGAAAGCCAGGGGAGCGAACGGG
This 253-nucleotide ribosomal RNA is filed under the name uncultured bacterium. RNAcentral's name for it is "partial 16S ribosomal RNA". It matches the Rfam family "Bacterial small subunit ribosomal RNA", at positions 524 to 776 of the family's 1533-position model. The record is from RNAcentral.